RNAcentral lists this ribosomal RNA (450 nucleotides) under uncultured bacterium. RNAcentral describes it as "partial 16S ribosomal RNA". It matches the Rfam family "Bacterial small subunit ribosomal RNA", at positions 354 to 796 of the family's 1533-position model. The record is from RNAcentral.
GUGGGGAAUUUUGGACAAUGGGCGCAAGCCUGAUCCAGCAAUGUCGCGUGCAGGAAGAAGGCCUUCGGGUUGUAAACUGCUUUUGUACGGAACGAAACGGUCCUGGCUAAUAUCCGGGGCUAAUGACGGUACCGUAAGAAUAAGCACCGGCUAACUACGUUCCAGCAGCCGCGGUAAUACGUAGGGUGCGAGCGUUCAUCGGAAUUACUGGGCGUAAAGCGUGCUCAGGCGGUGCUGUAAGACAGGCGUGAAAUCCCCGGGCUGAACCUGGGGAUUGCGCUUGUGACUGCAGUGCUGGAGUGCGGCAGAGGGGGAUGGAAUUCCGCGUGUAGCAGUGAAAUGCGAAGAUAUGCGGAGGAACACCGAUGGCGAAGGCAAUCCCCUGGGCCUGCACUGACGCUCAUGCACGAAAGCGUGGGGAGCAAACAGGAUUAGAAACCCCAGUAGUCC